This 1917-nucleotide ribosomal RNA is filed under the name Triticum aestivum (bread wheat). RNAcentral's name for it is "partial small subunit ribosomal RNA". The record is from RNAcentral. Lineage: Eukaryota; Viridiplantae; Streptophyta; Magnoliopsida; Poales; Poaceae.
AUGCCGAUAGAGAUGCCGCGGGGGCUCCCCUUCGCCGUGGACACGUGGGGCGCCUCCUCCCGCCGCCGGCGCCACCGCUUCCUCACCCACGCGCACCGGGACCACCUCGUCGGCGCCGCCGCCGGGGCCGGCCCCGGAGGAGGAGGAGGCGCCCUCUACGCCACCCGCCUCACCCUGUCCCUCGCCCUCCGCCACUUUCCCCAGCUGGAUCAGGGGGAGUUCGUGGAGGUCGAGGUGGGGAGGACGUUGAAGGUGGAUGACCCCGCCGGCGCCUUCUCCGUCACCGCGUACGAUGCCAACCACUGCCCUGGGGCAGUUAUGUUCUUGUUUGAGGGUGAAUUCGGUAGCAUACUGCACACGGGCGACUGCCGACUUACACCAGAUUGUGCUCAGAACUUGCCACUGAAAUACAUAGCAAAGAAAGGGAAAGAAAAUGUUUGUCGUUUAGACUUUGUGUUCCUGGACUGCACAUUUUCCAAAUGCUUCCUCAAACUACCAAGCAAGGAGUUGGCAAUUCAGCAGGUUAUAGCUUGUAUAUGGAAGCAUCCGGAUGCACCUUUUGUAUAUCUUGCUUGUGACCUUCUUGGUCACGAAGAGAUCCUAGUUGAGGUGUCCAGGACGUUUGGAUCGAAAAUUUAUGUUGACACGAGAAGGAAUUCAGAUUGUUUUAAAGCGCUGUCACUCACAGCCCCUGAGAUCAUCACUGGUGAUCCAUCUUGUCGCUUUCAGAUAGUUGGAUUCCACCAUUUGUAUGAUAAUGCAAGUAAAAAGCUUGAAGGGGCAAGGGCUAGUCUUCAGCCAGAGCCUUUAUUUAUCCGCCCCUCAACGCAGUGGUAUGCCUGUGGUCGAAACCAGAAACCCAGCCUAACAGAAGCUCAGCAGGAUGAUUUUGGGAUCUGGCAUGUCUGUUUCUCCAUUCACUCAUCCCGUGACGAGUUGGAGCAGGCGAUGCAACUUCUUCAACCUCAAUGGGUCAUCUCAACAACUCCCCCAUGCUUUGCCAUGGAGCUGAGCUAUGUGAAGAAACAUUGUUUCAAGACUCGCUUGACAACUAAUGAUCCAUUGUGGAAGAUAUUCAGGGAUCCUCUUCAAAAGUCAGUAACCUCACCCUCGUCGGUGCUUGCUUCUUGCACGCCGCCAGAUGAAGAUCCCUCAACUUUUGUUGAUGAUGAUCAUCCAACUUCUGCCAGUGAAGAAUGCACAGAUUUUGAUGUCAUUACACUUGAACUGCAAUUUGUGCCAUCCCCUCCGGUUGAAGAACCAGAUAUUACAUUGUUUGGAAGAGCAAGAUUUGGUUCUCAAGCGAUUGACAUAAUGAAAGAAGAGUUGUGCCACCAGUACAUUGCUGCAGCUGAACAAACCAGAUUCUGUGCACCGGAAGAUUUGCUUCAUGAUAGCAGCCAAAAUGUUGAAACAUAUUCUGGUAUGGAUUUAAUCACAAAGCAAGCCCCAGCUUCCCAACAAGAUUGUGCCGAAGCUGGAGAUGUGGCCCCCUCCUGUCAGUGUGCCGAAGCUGGAGGUGUGCCCCCCUCCUCUCAGUGUAAAGCACCCCCAACCCUACCAGAAGCAUUUGCAGUUCAACCUUUGCCUACUGUUCAACACAAUAUGUCAGUAGUGCUUGAUCAACUGGAAAAGUCUGACAUUAUAAUAGAGCCAAUAUCUAUAAGCACUGCCGAAAGUUCAAGCCUUCGCAUGGUUAGGAAUGCAGAGGUAACAGAUUGUCAAUCGGACCGCCUGUGUGUCAUUGGGUCAUCGAAAUCUUUGCAUGCAAGUCUGAAGAGGCUGUACAGAUCGAGGAAUGUCCCUGUCCCGCAUCCUCUCCCGUCUCUUGUUGGACUUUUGGAAUCCACUAAACGGGUCAAAAGGCGACCUGGCUCUGAUUAUAGCUCGUUGAAUUCACGGCACAGCCUACCUUGA